Long non-coding RNA from Gavialis gangeticus (Gharial), 2428 nucleotides. RefSeq lists it as uncharacterized. NCBI's taxonomy places the organism in Eukaryota, Metazoa, Chordata, Crocodylia, Gavialidae. The record is from RefSeq and is a predicted model, not a curated record. The transcript has 2 exons.
CACAGGGUGUGUUACAGUCUUCCAUAACCCAACAAUUUAUUUAAAAUUGAAUCACAAUGAGAGUCUGUUAAUAAAAUACAUUAUUUCACACCAGUUUGCAUUGCCAUUGUAUUUUUUAGAGUUAGCAUCUCUCUUUACUUUAUAUUAAAAACUUUAUAGAGUUAUAAAAGAACUACUGUACUGUAUCAACAGUAGCUGAAAUCUACUGUAACAUUAGGCAGGUAAGAGGAAACUUCUAGUUAGCUAACACUUGAGUUAACCUUGCAUUUUUGGCACCUCUGAAUCUUUCUUCCUUGAACAAGAAAAUUGGUUCCAUAUCAAGCCAGUAAAAUCACUGACAUGAACAAUGGCAGUGAUUGUCACCAUUAAGUGGCAAAUGCUGCCUAAAAUCAUAUAAAAUGCACUUUUUGAUAAAAAAUAGAAAUUCUGAUUUUUUUCAUCGGAGUGCUUAGCAUUUGAACACAAUGACAGCACACCUCCCACCCCUUAUUGUGUUAUGGCUAAUGUCAUUUUGCUGUGAGAUUUCAAUUAGUAUUUCAGUCUUAGAUAUUUUAAACAGGAAGUUGAUUACUUUUGUGCUGGCCAUGAGGGUCACCCCCCAUCCCCUCAGGUGUCUGUUCAAAAGGAAGCUUUAACUGUUCUUUGAAUGAAAUGAUUGAACACAUUUUGAGGCACAAUAUCCCUUCAUGAUUUAGCAGUUUACUGGCUGUCAAUCAUACAAAGGAAAUUUUAAAACAUUAAGAGCAUUGAAACUCAGUGAUCCACUGAUAAAGCCUGGAGUCCACUUUCCUGGGAUAAAGGUGACUUUUGCAUUAGAAAUAAAAGGGAUUCACAAGGCAUGUAGCAUUGUGAAUUAUUGUGCCAGGCCUGUGUUUACGCAACAGUGCAGUUGCUUUUGUAAAUAUUUAGAAUUUAUAAACUGUUUUUUCCCCCUUUCUUCACAUUAUAAACUCCAGCUGCUUCUAUCUUUAUAUAUUAUACUCAGCAUUAAAAAGAAACCCAUGCUAUUUUUAACUGCUUUUUUUGGCUUGUAAGCUAUAUUAUUCCAGUGAGUUUUUGGCACAAUAUCUAGGGAGUGUUCUAUGUAACUGAGUGCAGACUCCAUGUACCAGUCUUUAUUAUUGUAUUGCUUACUUGCUUUCUGACUGAACUACCCCUGGAGUCACAAAGAAAUUGGAAUAUUCUACUGUGGGGUGAAACAUAUUUUAAUUAGAACUAAAAGCAUCUUAUGGCUUUGGUUCCAAAGGGACAAGGAUUUUUCCGACAGCAUUGGCCAGUACGUUUUCUUUUAUGGAGAAGAAAAUGCAAGUUUGUAUGAGCCACAGCAUGAUUUAGUUCCAUGCUCUUUUUCAAAGUAUCAUUCAAAGCAAACAAAAAUAGGAAUGAUAUAUCUAAUUCAUUUUCAAUAAUAGAUUUACUUUCUCUCUUGGGCUUUGAUUCACGCCCAAGCUGCUGGGAGCAGGCUCUGUCUUAGCAUUUUCUCAGAAAAGGACUAUUUGAAGAAAGGGCCCGUUUAUCUGAUAUACUAGCAGGGGGGAAGGGAGCAAUAAUUGAGAGGAAUAUUUGAAAUUCAUGAGAAUCAAAAAUUUCAAGGAGUUCCUAGUACUUUUCUUUGCCUAUAAUCCCCGUUUCUAAAAGAUAACCCUGCCAAAACCUCCAACUCCUUUAAGACUAAAAUUUGCCUCAUUCAUAUUGAGAAUUUAUCUUCUGCAAUCAUUUUUACUUCGCACUCGGCAUUCAUGCUGUACACACUGUUGAAGUCAACGGGAGUCCUAGGGAAGGAACAGGUAAAGAAUAAACAGCGCAGGUGAAAAAUCUUUCAGUGUAGAUCAGUAUGCUGGAAAGUGAAAACAAGCGUAUGCAGGUAUAAAAAGUUUUGUAAGAAAAGAAGAAAGCUUGGUUAAAAUGGACCAAGUAGGAGCUCAGGAACUCCAAAUAGCUAUAGUGCAAUUCAUACUGAUUUGAUAAGCAGCAGUUAGAAAUACUUAUGUGGCAAAGGCAAUGAUCACAGCUGAAAAAAGUGAAAGUAAGAAUAAAAGCAAUAUACUGUCAAUAUAUUUUUGCCCUUGAAGAAUGGAUCUACAUAUUGCCUUUGAGCGUGGAACAGCCCGGGUAUGGCAAACUGUACAGCAGUGUAUUCCCCUUUAUUUCAUAUAAAAAGGGCUCAAAGCUGGGAUUAAUAAGGCACAAACCUGGGAAAAAUAGAGUAGUUAACAAGAAAUGAGUGUAUUAUUUAUUAGAUGUAACUUAGCAAUUACUUCUCCUUUGUCCCCAAAAUGCUCCAAAGCAAAAUAUAUUUCCCACAUUCUUUCCCCCAUCCAUUUCUUUUGGAUAAAGCUGCCUUUGCUAUAGAGAUACAGUUGCUCAAGAACAGAAUAUAUUGUGAACACAGCUAAAUACAACAUACAAAACAGAAAUGCAUUAAAAU